Molecule: ribosomal RNA, 406 nt
Filed under: uncultured bacterium
Lineage: Bacteria
Description: bacterial SSU rRNA
Rfam family: Bacterial small subunit ribosomal RNA
Source: RNAcentral
UGGGGAAUUUUCCGCAAUGGGCGAAAGCCUGACGGAGCAACGCCGCGUGAGGGAUGAAGGCCUCUGGGCUGUAAACCUCUUUUCUCAAGGAAGAAGAACUGACGGUACUUGAGGAAUAAGCCACGGCUAAUUCCGUGCCAGCAGCCGCGGUAAUACGGGAGUGGCAAGCGUUAUCCGGAAUCAUUGGGCGUAAAGCGUCCGCAGGCGGCCCUGUAAGUCUGUCGUUAAAGCGUGGAGCUCAACUCCAUUUCGGCGAUGGAAACUACAGGGCUUGAGUGUGGUAGGGGCAGAGGGAAUUCCCGGUGUAGCGGUGAAAUGCGUAGAUAUCGGGAAGAACACCAGUGGCGAAGGCGCUCUGCUGGGCCAUAACUGACGCUCAUGGACGAAAGCCAGGGGAGCGAAAGGG